This 550-nucleotide ribosomal RNA is filed under the name uncultured bacterium. RNAcentral describes it as "bacterial SSU rRNA". It matches the Rfam family "Bacterial small subunit ribosomal RNA", at positions 355 to 896 of the family's 1533-position model. The record is from RNAcentral.
UAGGGAAUCUUCCACAAUGGGCGCAAGCCUGAUGGAGCAACACCGCGUGAGUGAAGAAGGGUUUCGGCUCGUAAAGCUCUGUUGUUAAAGAAGAACACGUAUGAGAUUAGCUGUUCAUACGUNGACGGUAUUUAACCCGAAAGUCACGGCCAACUACGUGCCCGCCGCCGCGGUAAUACGUAGGUUGCAAGCGUUAUCCGGAUUUAUUGGGCGUAAAGAGAGUGCAGGCGGUUUUCUAAGUUUGAUGUGAAAGCCUUCGGCUUAACCGGAGAAGUGCAUCGGAAACUGGAUAACUUGAGUGCAGAAGAGGGUAGUGGAACUCCAUGUGUAGCGGUGGAAUGCGUAGAUAUAUGGAAGAACACCGGUGGCGAAAGCGGCUAUCUGGUCUGUAACUGACGCUGAGGCUCGAAAGCAUGGGUAGCGAACAGGAUUAGAUACCCUGGUAGUCCAUGCCGUAAACGAUGAGUGCUAGGUGUUGGAGGGUUUCCGGGCUUCAGUGCCGGAGCUAACGCAUUAAGCACUCCGCCUGGGGAGUACGACCGCAAGGUUG